Molecule: ribosomal RNA, 253 nt
Filed under: uncultured bacterium
Lineage: Bacteria
Description: partial 16S ribosomal RNA
Rfam family: Bacterial small subunit ribosomal RNA
Source: RNAcentral
UACGAACCGUACAAACGUUAUUCGGAAUCACUGGGUUUAAAGGGUGCGUAGGCGGCUUAGUAAGUCAGUGGUGAAAGACUGUGGCUUAACCAUGGAAUUGCCAUUGAUACUGCUGAGCUUGAAUCAGGUUGAGGUUGGCGGAAUGUGACAUGUAGCGGUGAAAUGCUUAGAUAUGUCAUGGAACACCGAUUGCGAAGGCAGCUGACUGGACCUGUAUUGACGCUGAGGCACGAAAGCGUGGGGAGCGAACAGG